AACGAACGCUGGCGGCAGGCCUAACACAUGCAAGUCGAGCGCAUCGCAAGGUGAGCGGCGGACGGGUUAGUAACGCGUGGGAACGUGCCCUUUUCUUCGGAAUAGCCUCGGGAAACUGAGGGUAAUACCGGAUACGCCCUUUGGGGGAAAGAUUUAUCGGGGAAGGAUCGGCCCGCGUCUGAUUAGGUAGUUGGUGGGGUAAUGGCCUACCAAGCCUACGAUCAGUAGCUGGUUUGAGAGGAUGAUCAGCAACACUGGGACUGAGACACGGCCCAGACUCCUACGGGAGGCAGCAGUGGGGAAUCUUAGACAAUGGGGGCAACCCUGAUCUAGCCAUGCCGCGUGAGUGAUGAAGGCCUUAGGGUUGUAAAGCUCUUUCAGCUGGGAAGAUAAUGACGGUACCAGCAGAAGAAGCCCCGGCUAACUCCGUGCCAGCCGCCGCAGUAACAC
This 450-nucleotide ribosomal RNA is filed under the name uncultured bacterium. RNAcentral describes it as "bacterial SSU rRNA". It matches the Rfam family "Bacterial small subunit ribosomal RNA", at positions 29 to 526 of the family's 1533-position model. The record is from RNAcentral.